GUGAGGAAUAUUGGGCAAUGCCCGCAAGGGUGACCCAGCAACGCCGCGUGGAGGAUGAAUGUCGUAAGAUUGUAAACUCCUGUUAGAGGGGAAGAAUAGUACCGGUUGGACCGGUAUAUGACUGUACCCUCAGAGAAAGCCCCGGCUAACUACGUGCCAGCAGCCGCGGUAAUACGUAGGGGGCAAGCGUUGUCCGGAUUUACUGGGUGUAAAGGGCGCGCAGGCGGGAUAAAAAGUCAGUGGUGAGAUCCUACAGCUUAACUGUAGAACUGCCUCUGAUACUUUUAUUCUUGAGUUCGGGAGAGAGAGACGGAAUUCCAGGUGUAGUGGUGAAAUACGUAGAUAUCUGGAAGAACACCAGUUGCGAAGGCGGUCUCUUGGUCCGACACUGACGCUGAGGCGCGAAAGCGUGGGGAGCAAACA
Molecule: ribosomal RNA, 423 nt
Filed under: uncultured bacterium
Lineage: Bacteria
Description: bacterial SSU rRNA
Rfam family: Bacterial small subunit ribosomal RNA
Source: RNAcentral